This 468-nucleotide ribosomal RNA is filed under the name uncultured bacterium. RNAcentral's name for it is "partial 16S ribosomal RNA". It matches the Rfam family "Bacterial small subunit ribosomal RNA", at positions 28 to 507 of the family's 1533-position model. The record is from RNAcentral.
GACGAACGCUGGCGGCGUGCUUAACACAUGCAAGUCGAACGGAAAGGCCCUGCUUUUGUGGGGUGCUCGAGUGGCGAACGGGUGAGUAACACGUGAGUAACCUGCCCUUGACUUUGGGAUAACUUCAGGAAACUGGGGCUAAUACCGGAUAGGAUCUCCUGCUGCAUGGUGGGGGUUGGAAAGUUUCGGCGGUUGGGGAUGGACUCGCGGCUUAUCAGCUUGUUGGUGGGGUAGGGGCUUACCAAGGCUUUGACGGGUAGCCGGCCUGAGAGGGUGACCGGCCACAUUGGGACUGAGAUACGGCCCAGACUCCUACGGGAGGCAGCAGUGGGGAAUAUUGCACAAUGGGCGGAAGCCUGAUGCAGCAACGCCGCGUGCGGGAUGACGGCCUUCGGGUUGUAAACCGCUUUCGCCUGUGACGAAGCGUGAGUGACGGUAAUGGGUAAAGAAGCACCGGCUAACUACGUG